RNAcentral lists this non-coding RNA (21 nucleotides) under Caenorhabditis elegans. The record is from RNAcentral. Lineage: Eukaryota; Metazoa; Nematoda; Chromadorea; Rhabditida; Rhabditidae.
UAGGAAAAUACUUGAUGCGCG